RNAcentral lists this ribosomal RNA (279 nucleotides) under uncultured Streptococcus sp. Its description in RNAcentral is "partial 16S ribosomal RNA". It matches the Rfam family "Bacterial small subunit ribosomal RNA", at positions 8 to 269 of the family's 1533-position model. Lineage: Bacteria; Bacillati; Bacillota; Bacilli; Lactobacillales; Streptococcaceae. The record is from RNAcentral.
AGAGUUUGAUCCUGGCUCAGGACGAACGCUGGCGGCGUGCCUAAUACAUGCAAGUAGGACGCACAGCCUAUACCGUAGCUUGCUACACCAUAGGCUGUGAGUUGCGAACGGGUGAGUAACGCGUAGGUAACCUGCCUAUUAGAGGGGGAUAACUAUUGGAAACGAUAGCUAAUACCGCAUAACAGUAUGUAACACAUGUUAGAUGCUUGAAAGAUGCAAUUGCAUCGCUAGUAGAUGGACCUGCGUUGUAUUAGCUAGUAGGUAGGGUAAUGGCCUACC